CGGGAAGGGAUAAACGCUGAAGGCAUCUAAGCGUGAAGCCCCCCUCAAGAUGAGAUAUCCCAUUCGAAAGAAGUAAGACCCCUUGAAGACGACGAGGUAGAUAGGGCAGAGGUGGAAGUGCCGUAAGGCAUGGAGCUGACUGUUACUAAUCGGUCGAGGGCUUGACCUAAUU
Molecule: ribosomal RNA, 172 nt
Filed under: Blautia sp. AM47-4
Lineage: Bacteria; Bacillati; Bacillota; Clostridia; Lachnospirales; Lachnospiraceae
Description: partial 23S ribosomal RNA
Rfam family: Bacterial large subunit ribosomal RNA
Source: RNAcentral